This 212-nucleotide ribosomal RNA is filed under the name uncultured bacterium. RNAcentral's name for it is "partial 16S ribosomal RNA". It matches the Rfam family "Bacterial small subunit ribosomal RNA", at positions 585 to 793 of the family's 1533-position model. The record is from RNAcentral.
AAGUCAGAUGUGAAAGCCCCGGGGCUCAACCUCGGAAUUGCAUUUUGAAACUGGCAAACUAGAGUACUGUAGAGGGGGUAGAAUUUUCAGGUGUAGCGGUGAAAUGCGUAGAGAUCUGAAGGAAUACCGGUGGCGAAGGCGGCCCCCCUGGACAGAUACUGACACUCAGAUGCGAAAGCGUGGGGAGCAAACAGGAUUAUAUACCCUGGUAG